UCCUACGGGAGGCAGCAGUGGGGAAUAUUGCACAAUGGGGGAAACCCUGAUGCAGCGACGCCGCGUGGAGGAAGAAGGUCUUCGGAUUGUAAACUCCUGUUGUUGAGGAAGAUAAUGACGGUACUCAACAAGGAAGUGACGGCUAACUACGUGCCAGCAGCCGCGGUAAAACGUAGGUCACAAGCGUUGUCCGGAAUUACUGGGUGUAAAGGGAGCGCAGGCGGGAGAACAAGUUGGAAGUGAAAUCCAUGGGCUCAACCCAUGAACUGCUUCCAAAACUGUUUUUCUUGAGUAGUGCAGAGGUAGGCGGAAUUCCCGGUGUAGCGGUGGAAUGCGUAGAUAUCGGGAGGAACACCAGUGGCGAAGGCGGCCUACUGGGCACCAACUGACGCUGAGGCUCGAAAGUGUGGGUAGCAAACAGGAUUAGAUACCCUGGUAGUCCACACCGUAAACGAUGAUUACUAGGUGUUGGAGGAUUGACCCCUUCAGUGCCGCAGUUAACACAAUAAGUAAUCCACCA
This 520-nucleotide ribosomal RNA is filed under the name uncultured bacterium. RNAcentral describes it as "bacterial SSU rRNA". It matches the Rfam family "Bacterial small subunit ribosomal RNA", at positions 337 to 873 of the family's 1533-position model. The record is from RNAcentral.